UACGUAGGAGGCGAGCGUUGUCCGGAAUUACUGGGCGUAAAGAGCGCGUAGGCGGCACGGUACGACCGGUGUGAAAGCCCCCGGCUCAACUGGGGAGGGUCACCGGUAACCGGCCGAGCUAUGAGUGCAGGAGAGGGAAGUGGAACUCCGGGAGUAGCGGUGAAAUGCGUAGAGACCCGGAGGAACACCAGUGGCGAAGGCGGCCUGCUGGGCAGUAGCGUGACGGCUGAGGCGCGACAGCGUGGGAGCAAACAGG
This 256-nucleotide ribosomal RNA is filed under the name uncultured bacterium. Its description in RNAcentral is "partial 16S ribosomal RNA". It matches the Rfam family "Bacterial small subunit ribosomal RNA", at positions 524 to 776 of the family's 1533-position model. The record is from RNAcentral.